RNAcentral lists this ribosomal RNA (522 nucleotides) under uncultured Actinomycetes bacterium. Its description in RNAcentral is "bacterial SSU rRNA". It matches the Rfam family "Bacterial small subunit ribosomal RNA", at positions 382 to 896 of the family's 1533-position model. The record is from RNAcentral. Lineage: Bacteria; Bacillati; Actinomycetota; Actinomycetes.
CCUGACGCAGCGACGCCGCGUGCGGGAAGAAGGCCUUCGGGUUGUAAACCGCUUUCAGGAGGGACGAAGCCACUCGGGUGAAUAGCCCAGAGGGUGACGGUACCUCCAGAAGAAGCCCCGGCUAACUACGUGCCAGCAGCCGCGGUAAUACGUAGGGGGCAAGCGUUGUCCGGAUUCAUUGGGCGUAAAGAGCGUGUAGGCGGCCAGGUAGGUCGGUUGUGAAAACUGGAGGCUCAACCUUCAGACGUCGACCGAAACCAUCUGGCUAGAGUCCGGGAGAGGAGAGUGGAAUUCCUGGUGUAGCGGUGAAAUGCGCAGAUAUCAGGAAGAACACCCGUGGCGAAAGCGGCUCUCUGGAACGGUACUGACGCUGAGACGCGAAAGCGUGGGGAGCGAACAGGAUUAGAUACCCUGGUAGUCCACGCCGUAAACGAUGGGCGCUAGGUGUGGGAGGUGUCGACUCCUUCCGUGCCGCAGCUAACGCAUUAAGCGCCCCGCCUGGGGAGUACGGCCGCAAGGCUA